This 460-nucleotide ribosomal RNA is filed under the name uncultured bacterium. RNAcentral's name for it is "partial 16S ribosomal RNA". It matches the Rfam family "Bacterial small subunit ribosomal RNA", at positions 338 to 795 of the family's 1533-position model. The record is from RNAcentral.
CCUACGGGAGGCAGCAGUGAGGAAUAUUGGUCAAUGGACGAGAGUCUGAACCAGCCAAGUAGCGUGAAGGAUGACUGCCCUAUGGGUUGUAAACUUCUUUUAUAAAGGAAUAAAACGAGGCACGUGUGCCUUUUUGCAUGUACUUUAUGAAUAAUGAUCGGCUAACUCCGUGCCAGCAGCCGCGGUAAUACGGAGGAUCCGAGCGUUAUCCGGAUUUAUUGGGUUUAAGGGGAGCGUAGAUGGGUUGUUAAGUCAGUUGUGAAAGGUUGCGGCUCAACCGUAAAAUUGCAAUUGAUACUGGCAGUCUUGAGUACAGUUGAGGUAGGCGGAAUUCGUGGUGUAGCGGUGAAAUGCUUAGAUAUCACGAAGAACCCCGAUUGCGAAGGCAGCUUACUAAACUGUGACUGACAUUGAUGCUCGAAAGUGUGGGUAUCAAACAGGAUUAGAUACCCGAGUAGUC